UGGGUUCCUGACAUAAAGUAGUUAAAUGA
Molecule: non-coding RNA, 29 nt
Filed under: Homo sapiens (human)
Lineage: Eukaryota; Metazoa; Chordata; Mammalia; Primates; Hominidae
Source: RNAcentral